RNAcentral lists this unclassified non-coding RNA (1261 nucleotides) under Centruroides sculpturatus (bark scorpion). RNAcentral's name for it is "cysteine and glycine-rich protein 1-like, transcript variant X1". Lineage: Eukaryota; Metazoa; Arthropoda; Arachnida; Scorpiones; Buthidae. The record is from RNAcentral.
AAAUUAUUUCACUGAUUAUUAAUGGAGAAAACUUGCUUAAGUCCUUAGUUCUCUAUUUUUUAAAAAAAAAAAAAAUAAAGAAGAAGCGACAAUGGCGAAGGAAGCUCCCCACGUUAUAGGCACCGUUACACUUUGUGGAAGAUGCAAAAAAAAAGUUUUCUUUAAUGAAGAAAAGCGUUCGGAUGGUAUAGCCUGGCAUACCAUCUGCUAUACUUGUGCAAACCCAAAAUGUAGACGUCCACUUGACAGCUCUCUAUUAACCGUUCACAAAGAUGAAAUUUAUUGCAAAUUUUGCUAUCCUCUGAUAUUCGGACCAAAUGGUUUCGGAUACGGCAUACCACCAGCAGUCGUUACGGUAAAAGAGCGAUUUACAUCCCCAACUACUUCAAAGUGGAAAUCACUGGACAAAGAUAGGAGCCUUCUAGAGGAUCGAUCCAAUCAAGAUGAUUAUUCACCGGGAUGUAUAGAUUCUGGAUGUUCGACUACCUUAUAUUACGAAGAUAUAUGCUAUAAAUGUAAAUGCAAAGUAUACCGUGCAGACAGAUUAAUUACAGCAUAUUCUGUUUGGCAUAGAAACUGUGCAAAUUGUUGUUCAUGUGGUCAAAUACUCCAAGAUAACGACGCUUAUGAAAGAGACGAUCAAUUAUUUUGUUGCUCUUGUUGCGAUAAAUACUUGAGAGGCGAAAUAUGUAAAGUCCGGAAAGUUUCAAAACUUGACGAAGAAAUUUUAAGCAAAAAUCGAAAGGAAGAAUUAAAUAAUAAUUAUAAAAAUUCUUUUUUCUUUAAUUUUCCUGAAUAAACUCAAAUUCUCUAUUGUUUAGACUUAAUUUGUAAGUUGUAACUCAAUUAUUACCCUUAUGCUAUUAAGCAAACCACCGGAAUUUUAUAGCCAUUCACAGAAUGAAAUCCUAGUAAAAAUCUUCAAAACUUUCUCUCUGCCAAGGCACAAAAAUGUGAAUCAAUUUUCUAUCAAAAGAGCACAAACUAAGAGGAACUGGAAUGAUACUUCAAAAAUGAUCAAUAAUUUGGUUAAAUUACCGAUAUUUUCUGAGGAGUCGCGAAGGUUCUUACGUGUGUAAAUUUUCUAAUUCUACAAAUAGUCACAACGCUCAUCUAUCUGGAGAACCUAUGAUCCUUUUUAUUUCUAGACAUUUCCACUAAAGAGAUCCCAACUAGAACGAUCGCAAAAGUUCGUUGUUCUGUUAUAAAAAUUGUGUCAUGGCUCAAAAUUCAGGAAGUGCUGGUUUAUAAUAAUAAAUCU